Molecule: long non-coding RNA, 1160 nt
Filed under: Chrysemys picta bellii (western painted turtle)
Lineage: Eukaryota; Metazoa; Chordata; Testudines; Emydidae
Description: lncRNA (ENSCPBG00000006178.1)
Source: RNAcentral
UAGAACCAAGCUGCCUUCAAGCGGGAAAUGAGCUAAGAGAGCCCUGCGCCUCACCCAGAUCUGGGGAAGGCCAAGCUACAGUUACCCCAUGCGGGCUCUGCCAUGAUUCCUGGGUGGGCUGCCUAGACCAGCAUCUGAGCUGACGACUGGGGUCUACUGCAGACAAUAGGGAGGGUAUAAUGGGGUCCCCGGGAACCCCAGUGUAGAAAGAACAGGAUCAUGCCUGGCUGCAGUGGUGCUGUGCUCAGGGGCCAUCUUUCCCGGCAGGACGCCAGCCUGCUGAUGGGGGGCUUCCGAUGGCUUCGCCGCCAGAGGUUCGAGGGCCUGGUGAGAGGUUACCUGGCCCAUGGCUGCAUGAAGGAGGCAGAAGAAACCUUGGAGCAACUUCAGGGCAGUUGUGGCUGCGUGAAGGCGCACAGUGUGCUGGGGCGACUCCGAGCGCUGAGGCAGCAGAGGCUCCAGUGCUGGCGGGGCGAGUGGCACCGCAGCUGGGCAAGGCGGCUGCAGCUGGCAGAGCUGCUCAGCGAGACGCUGGGGCACGUGGAGGAGCGUUCGGGGCUGUUCCUGAUCCAGCCUGUGCUGCCGUGGCCUGGCCGGCCGACUGCACUAACCCCUCCUGGAAGGAGCGACGCCCGGCCCCAACCCACUCCCAAGAUGCUGGUGCCAGCACUGAUGGGACAGGAAGUGAGCAGCUCCCUGGCCACACGGGGUCUCCGGCUGCGCACCCCAAGGGAGGCAGGGCCCCACAAGCUGUGGAGCUUCCCACCAUUGGGGGGCAGCAGGGCCUGGCCAGACCAGGACCUGGUGCUGCCAAGCCCACUGGUGAUCACCCCGCGGCUACUGGAGAUGGACCUCAAUGGCUACCUGCUGCAGGAGCGCCAGGUGAGCAGGAGGAGCCAGCCCGGCCCAGGCCCAGCCAAUCCCGGAGCCAGGCCCUUCACAGCCUCGCUGAGGAGUUUCCUUCCUGUCCGACGUGGCAUGGCCCUGAUAGGCCCCAGCCACUCGGAGAGGCCGAGUGCCCAGCUGUGACUCCAGAUCGGCUCGCGAUCCUGUGGGCAUAUUCCGGACUUCAGGACACAGCUUGAUAAACCAUCUAUUUGAAAUCAGCUGGCUGGGAAAGGAUCACAGUCCAGAAUGGCCAGACAGCCUUCCGCCCCUCA